GACGAACGCUGGCGGCGUGCUAACACAUGCAAGUCGAGCGAAUGAAAUUCCUUCGGGAACGGAUUUAGCGGCGGACGGGUGAGUAACACGUGGGCAACCUGCCUCAUAGAGGGGAAUAGCCUUCCGAAAGGGAGAUUAAUACCGCAUAAGAUUGUAGUACCGCAUGGUACAGCAAUUAAAGGAGCAAUCCGCUAUGAGAUGGGCCCGCGGCGCAUUAGCUAGUUGGUGAGGUAACGGCUCACCAAGGCGACGAUGCGUAGCCGACCUGAGAGGGUGAUCGGCCACAUUGGGACUGAGACACGG
RNAcentral lists this ribosomal RNA (303 nucleotides) under uncultured bacterium. RNAcentral's name for it is "bacterial SSU rRNA". It matches the Rfam family "Bacterial small subunit ribosomal RNA", at positions 28 to 329 of the family's 1533-position model. The record is from RNAcentral.